This 74-nucleotide transfer RNA is filed under the name Candidatus Coatesbacteria bacterium 4484_99. RNAcentral describes it as "tRNA-Arg". It matches the Rfam family "tRNA". Rfam says of the family: Transfer RNA (tRNA) molecules are approximately 80 nucleotides in length. Their secondary structure includes four short double-helical elements and three loops (D, anti-codon, and T loops). Further hydrogen bonds mediate the characteristic L-shaped molecular structure. tRNAs have two regions of fundamental functional importance: the anti-codon, which is responsible for specific mRNA codon recognition, and the 3' end, to which the tRNAs corresponding amino acid is attached (by aminoacyl-tRNA synthetases). tRNAs cope with the degeneracy of the genetic code in two manners: having more than one tRNA (with a specific anti-codon) for a particular amino acid; and 'wobble' base-pairing, i.e. permitting non-standard base-pairing at the 3rd anti-codon position. The record is from RNAcentral. Lineage: Bacteria; Candidatus Coatesiibacteriota. RNAcentral also lists the same sequence under 2 other names.
GCCCCCGUAGCUCAGCUGGAGAGAGCAACGGACUUCUAAUCCGUGGGUCAGAGGUUCGAAUCCUCUCGGGGGUA